This 460-nucleotide ribosomal RNA is filed under the name uncultured bacterium. Its description in RNAcentral is "partial 16S ribosomal RNA". It matches the Rfam family "Bacterial small subunit ribosomal RNA", at positions 338 to 795 of the family's 1533-position model. The record is from RNAcentral.
CCUACGGGUGGCAGCAGUGAGGAAUAUUGGUCAAUGGGCGCGAGCCUGAACCAGCCAAGUAGCGUGAAGGAUGACUGCCCUACGGGUUGUAAACUUCUUUUAUAAAGGAAUAAAGUGAGGCACGUGUGCCUUUUUGUAUGUACUUUAUGAAUAAGGAUCGGCUAACUCCGUGCCAGCAGCCGCGGUAAUACGGAGGAUCCGAGCGUUAUCCGGAUUUAUUGGGUUUAAAGGGAGCGUAGAUGGGUUGUUAAGUCAGUUGUGAAAGUUUGCGGCUCAACCGUAAAAUUGCAAUUGAUACUGGCAGCCUUGAGUACAGUUGAGGUAGGCGGAAUUCGUGGUGUAGCGGUGAAAUGCUUAGAUAUCAAGAGGAAUACUCAUUGCGAAGGCAGCUUACUAAACUGCCACUGACAUUGAUGCUCGAAAGUGUGGGUAUCAAACAGGAUUAGAUACCCUAGUAGUC